Nannospalax galili (Upper Galilee mountains blind mole rat) is the source of this 686-nucleotide non-coding RNA. The record is from the annotation of a RefSeq genome assembly. NCBI's taxonomy places the organism in Eukaryota, Metazoa, Chordata, Mammalia, Rodentia, Spalacidae.
ACCACAAGGUGGCAGUAGACCUCAGUGCACAGAAUUCACUUUAGUAACAGUUGAAUGUGUUAGGCUUAGGGCAAAAGUGAGCUCUUUUCCCAUUGGCGGGUUCAACUCAAGAACGAGACAUUCUGAGAAAGAGGAAGCACCGGGCAGGAGCAGCUACCUGGCUAGUGAUCACAUUCUACUGCAGAGUUUCAUCAGGAAGAGCAAUGAGGGCUUGCGAUCCCACUUUUCUCACGUUCCUGUGGCUGCAGCUGGACUGGGUGACCCGAGGAGAGAAGGUGGAGCAGCAUCCUUCCACCCUGAGUGUCCAGGAGGGAGACAGCAGUGAGAUCAACUGUACUUAUUCAGACAGUGCCUCUAACUACUUCCCUUGGUAUAGGCAAGAGCCUGGAAAGGGUCCCCAGCUCAUCAUUGACAUUCGUUCAAAUUCAGAGAGAAAACAGAACCAAAGAUUCACUGUCUCACUGGAUAAGAAAGCCAAACACUUCUCCCUGCACAUUGCAGCCACCCAGCCUGGAGAUGCAGUCCUCUACUGUGCAGCAAGUACACACUGCUCCCCAGACACCUGCAGCCUGUCCUCAAACCUGCUUACGGGGCCUGGAGCCCCACUCCAGGUCUUUGUCACAGAUGUUCUAGUACAGCAUUUGCCAGAUGUUUGUUUUCAAGUGAAACUAUCAUAUAGAGACUAA